CGCGGAAUAGUGUAGUUGGCUAACAUAUUGGGCUCAUAAUCCAAAGAUCAUUGGUUCAAGUCCAAUUUCCGCAC
RNAcentral lists this transfer RNA (74 nucleotides) under Cyanophora biloba. Its description in RNAcentral is "tRNA-Met". It matches the Rfam family "tRNA". From Rfam's summary of the family: Transfer RNA (tRNA) molecules are approximately 80 nucleotides in length. Their secondary structure includes four short double-helical elements and three loops (D, anti-codon, and T loops). Further hydrogen bonds mediate the characteristic L-shaped molecular structure. tRNAs have two regions of fundamental functional importance: the anti-codon, which is responsible for specific mRNA codon recognition, and the 3' end, to which the tRNAs corresponding amino acid is attached (by aminoacyl-tRNA synthetases). tRNAs cope with the degeneracy of the genetic code in two manners: having more than one tRNA (with a specific anti-codon) for a particular amino acid; and 'wobble' base-pairing, i.e. permitting non-standard base-pairing at the 3rd anti-codon position. Lineage: Eukaryota; Glaucocystophyceae; Cyanophorales; Cyanophoraceae. The record is from RNAcentral.